UGUUAGGAGGAGGGGGGUCAGAGAAAAGGGAAUAUUUAAUGAGGGUCUGCAGCAGGGACGUGCACACAUAGGAGUGAAAGGGGGCUGGAGCCCCUGCCCUUUUCCUCACCUGCCCCUCUAGUGCCCUCACAAAAGGAGGUGCAGACUCAGGCUGACAAGUGAAGUAAAAAGGAUCCAUUGCUGGAGAUUUGUAUGUGGUUUAAUGGAGGGUGCUGUGCCCUCCCUGCAGCAAGGGGGCGCCACUCACCCUGUCAUUAUCUGCCAUUUCUUUGCUUCUCUCCACACGGAGGAGACAGGAGCAGAGGAGGCAGAGGGAGGCCCCGCCCACAACAUGUCCGGCCACAAACCAGUCUAAGCAGCCCUUACUAGGAUCAGAAUGCAUUGGCAUAGUGAGGAGACGUCUGGGCAUCAAGUUCUGCAGAGAGAAGAUUUAGCUGGAACAAAUCCUGGCGCCAAUCAGAGAGCAGCACUACUGAAAUAGAACUCCCAGGAGUGAGGGGCCGGUGCUGGACACUGUGUAGGGACGCGGGAAUGCAAAGUCAUACACAUGACUGUGACUGAUGCACUAUCUCCAGGACAUGGAGUAGCAUUUCCGGACCUACAGCAAGACGUUGGAUGAAGGCAUAGCCCCAGAAAUAACACUGGUCCUGUUCAUCAGUGAGGGGCCGGUGCUGGACACUGUGUAGGGACACGGGAAUGCAAAGUCAUGCACAUGACUGUGACUGAUGCACUAUUUCCAGGACAUGGAGUAGCAUUUCGGGACCUACAGCAAGACGUUGGAUGAAGGCACAGGCCUAGGAAUCAUGCACAUACACAGAAACAUUUGCCCAAAUUCUAGAGGUAACCUCCUUUAGUAUGCCCAGAGGAAGGGCCAUACAGUAGCCAUGGAUUCCCUACAGGUUUCCUCCCCUCUGGAGGUUUUUCCUGUCCUGAGUAUUAGUUACUGUACGCUCUUUGUGAGUGAUGGGAGGUUACAAAAAAUCCCCUACACAAACAUUUUAAUAAAUAAUAAAUAAAGUUCCCCU
Long non-coding RNA from Hyla sarda, 1025 nucleotides. RefSeq lists it as uncharacterized. The record is from RefSeq and is a predicted model, not a curated record. The transcript is spliced from 6 exons. Lineage: Eukaryota; Metazoa; Chordata; Amphibia; Anura; Hylidae.